AUAGUUGCGCGGAGGAAAUGGGAAAGUUGGUGCUCUGCAUUUUAUAACGGAACACGUUAAUUUCCCUUCAACUGCAAUCUGUAAUGUGAUUUCGAUUUUAUUUUAUUUGUUGCAAGUGCAGAUUUUGUGUUGUCAGCUAGGUGAAAUUGCUGUUUAUUGUUACCGGAUGAGCUGCGUCCGGGGGAGGAAAUAACGACGCUGUGUAACGGACAUGUAACGAACACUGAUUAAACAAUGCCACAAAAUAUGGGGAAUUUCAUAUUCGGAUGUCCACUUAGUUGGUAAAGUUACGGAUUUGUUGGAAAAACUUAUGCAACCAAUUAAACACGCGGAUCCAUGAACACGUCUACAUUUGAGCAGAUAAGAAGUCAUUGUAUUUAGUUGUCUUUGAACUCCUUAACAACAAAUGUAGUUUGUGUAAAUAACAGCAAAUAACAACAAUGUUUGAAAAAGCGUAAAGUGGAACAAUCUGAAGAAAUUCGUGAAGCUGCUGAAGUUGAUGUCCUGAACUUAUUGACAUCUGUGUAUAUUUCAACUCUUCGUCGGGUGAAACGAUUUUGGGCAUAGUUGGCGCACGCUGGGUAUAUGAACUUGUAAACUGGAAAGUUAAUGAUACCGAAGACAUGGGAACGUCGUUAGUUGUCAGUAUUUCCAACAUAAAGAAUAAAAUCCCAAGAUCAUUUGUUGUUAUCAUUACUUAACGAAGACAAUGUAAUUUUUUCUUGGGGAUGUGUUAGAGAGGAGAAUAACAACACUAAAAGUGAAGAUAACAAGCUGUGUUAUAGAAAAUAAAUGUUCCCAUUAAUUUUGAAUUUUCUCUAUACAGUGGAUAUGAUUGUGUUAGUAUAAAUCCAAAAAUAACAUUAUUUUGCUUAAGUGUGCAUCUUGAAUGUGAAUCCUUGACCACUAGAGGCUGAGACGAGAAUUAAUGGUUGUUAACAGGUGUUUAGGCGAUUCGAAAUGAAGAGAAAUCCGUGCCAAUAAUUUUGU
Zophobas morio is the source of this 990-nucleotide long non-coding RNA. RefSeq lists it as uncharacterized. The transcript has 4 exons. Lineage: Eukaryota; Metazoa; Arthropoda; Insecta; Coleoptera; Tenebrionidae. The record is from RefSeq and is a predicted model, not a curated record.